Molecule: long non-coding RNA, 540 nt
Filed under: Sorghum bicolor (sorghum)
Lineage: Eukaryota; Viridiplantae; Streptophyta; Magnoliopsida; Poales; Poaceae
Description: long non-coding RNA (SBIC_LNC011276)
Source: RNAcentral
GACUGGUGGGGAAGUGGGGAGGGACAGGCACUCGCGAAAGCUGGAAAAAGGCUAGUGGAGGAAUGGUCAUCACAGCCGAAAACAACUGCACACGCCUGGUUAUCUAAGCGCAUCUCCUAAGGCCUUCUUUAGUUCCUCAAAAAUUUUACAAAAUUUUUCAGAUUUCACGUCACAUCGAAUCUUUAGACGUAUGCAUAGAGUAUUAAAUAUAAAAAAAAAUAAAAACUAAUUGCACAGUUUGGUCGGAAUUGACGAGACAAAUCUUUUGAGCCUAGUUAGUCUAUAAUUGAAUAAUAUUUGUCAAAUACAAACGAAAGUGCUACUAUUCCUAUUUUGCAAAAAAAAAUUUGGAGUCCUAGUCCCUGAUAAACUGGUCACGCGAUCUUUUUUCUUUUAUUAAAAAAAAGAUUCAAGCUGUUUCUUCUGUAAUCGUUUUGCGCUGCAUGUGCAGCUAUGUGCUACUGCAAAGCAACGGAUUUGACUUGGCAGUUGGCACGAUCGAGUGUAUCGGGGCGUCCUUAAUCUUGUCACUCGUGCUGU